GCUGUGGGUAGCUCAGUGGCAGAGCACCGAAAAGCGAUGGGCGAACUUUGUCCGGCAACGGGCCGCUGCUUCAUCGUUACCGCUCAUAACGGGGAGGUCGCGGGUUCGACUCCCGCCCCACAGCC
Molecule: transfer RNA, 125 nt
Filed under: Planctomycetota bacterium
Lineage: Bacteria; Pseudomonadati; Planctomycetota
Description: Planctomycetes bacterium (rhizosphere metagenome) tRNA-OTHER
Rfam family: tRNA
About the family: Transfer RNA (tRNA) molecules are approximately 80 nucleotides in length.
Source: RNAcentral